Molecule: long non-coding RNA, 617 nt
Organism: Solanum dulcamara
Lineage: Eukaryota; Viridiplantae; Streptophyta; Magnoliopsida; Solanales; Solanaceae
Exons: 4
Source: RefSeq, a predicted model, not a curated record
AUGGGACAGAUUGUAACGUUGUGAACAUUGGUGCAGUUGGAGACUCUGGUUGUACAUAGCUGGAAUAUUCAAGAUUCUUAGUUGAAACAAUGGCAUGGACGUUGUAGAGAUGGUAGACUGGAGCAGACUUCUCUUAGAUGUGUUUAAACUGGAGAGGAGAUAUUAUGUAUGACUAAGAUUUGACAGCAGAGACCUUUCUUUCAGAGAAAUCAUGGUUGAAACAACGGCAUGGAUCUUGUUGAAAUGGUAGACAGGAAAAGACUUGUCAUGAUUUGGAAAUUGCAUCUCCUAAACUCAUUUGCAUUUGGAGAUAUUAUUUCAUUGAUCAGUUAUGUCUCUUAGGUGAAGACGAAAACGAUCCUCCAACAGCUUCUAUUUUUCCUUCCUCUUGGUGGAAGCUCGGACAUUGGUCUUUUAGUUUAUUUCUACUCUUAGCAGCUUUUGUACCUGUUUUAGACUGGUAUCCAUAGUUUUUUUUAUGUGUUAUUCUUAUACAAGUGUAUUACUUCAGAUUUUUUAUAAACUUUUGGUUUAAUUACUCCUACUUAAGUCAUAGAGUAGGUGUCCGCAUGACCUGGUGGGUUGGAUAGUGAAAGAAACAAUAAAUCGUUCAAACA